Long non-coding RNA from Gambusia affinis (western mosquitofish), 2897 nucleotides. RefSeq lists it as uncharacterized. The transcript has 2 exons. Lineage: Eukaryota; Metazoa; Chordata; Actinopteri; Cyprinodontiformes; Poeciliidae. The record is from RefSeq and is a predicted model, not a curated record.
UCAGUUUGCUUUUGUUUAUUUCACAAGUUGCCGUUUUUCUGUAAGCUAAUAAUGAAUGAAUGGAGUUUGAACCUCUUGUAGUUCAAAGAUCCUGAGCUGCUUCUUCUUCUUCUUUAUUAAUAGAGAAGAAGAAGAAGCUCAGAAUCUUUGAUCUUUGUUCUUAAUAAAGAAGAAGAAGAAGAAAGAUCAAAGAUCUAAUAUCUAAUGUAUUUUUGUGUCUACUUUUGUUUUGGGCAGUGGACCUGGCCGAGGCUCAGGAUCUUUGAUCUUUCUUCUUCUAGAAGAAAGAUCAAAGAUCCUGAGCUUCUUCUUCUUCUUCUUUAUUAAGAAGAAGAAGAAGAAAAAGGCCCGGUUCUCAACCAGGCCUUAAUUAAGGCCUGGUUGAGUUUUGUUUCCACAGAGCCACCGGGAACAAGCAAAAUUUCAUGCAGUUAUGGGGUUUUAAUGGGAUAUUGUGCAACAUAUCGACUCAAGAAAAACUAGAGUUUAACAAGCACCUUAUUUAAUUAUUUUUAAGCUUGUCCUGAUGAGCUUGUCCUUGUGUUUCUUUCCCCUUUUUUUUUCUCUGAAGAGUUUUUUGUGGCGCUAGUGGCUCAUAUUUUUGUGACAGUAGGCAGACAGGAAAGGAGGGGGGUUGGGGGGAAGAGAUGCGGCAAAGUCAUCGGGACCGGGAGUCGAACCCGCGACGUCCGCGUUGAGGACUGAGGCCUCCGAACCUGGGGCGUGCUAACCCACUGCACCACCACAGCACGCCCCUUAAUACCUUGUGUUUUUAAUUGUAUUUUGUGCAUUCUCAUAAUUGUAAAUGUUUUGUUAAAAAUCAAAAAAAAAAAAAAUCUUCUUCUUCUUUUGAAUUUCUCUGUGUAACUCAGGUUCUUUACCGCCACCUUCCAGACUGGAGUCUGAACCAGACGUAAAACCACUGUAAUCUUCCCAUAAUUCCCGUUCUCCUCAGAAAACUAAAACUGCUGCUGAACACUUCAUCCUCAGACGAUUUUUGCAGCAGAUUUCUAAUAUCCAAUUUAUUUUUGUUUCUACUUAACUCUCUGGUGAUCACCUCUCUUUCCUGAUUAUAUUUAUUACAUUCUAGAAAAAAAUGCUGUAUUGUUUCUGACUCUCCACAAUAUCUACACAAACCUGUACAGUUUGUUAAUUAUUUCCAGAGUACUAUUUAACCCCGGAUGCCCAAACCUUAACCUGGAUAUAACAUCCUCUUCUCUUUUAUUCCUAUUACCUUUCCUUCAUUCCCCAACUUUUUUCUUUGAAUGCUAUAAUAAAAUCUUGCAUUGACUUCUCUAUCCCAUUCUUCCUGCCAUUUCUUUUUAAUAUAUCAUUUUUGCUUACUUUGAUAUGAAGCUCAACAUUGUCCUUUUUUGCUGCAUUUUUAGCAAAUUUAUCCGCCAACUCGUUUCCUACUCUUCCAAUAUGGGCAGGAAUCCAUCCAUCCAUCUUCUUACACCCUUCUUCCCUAAUGGGGUCAGGAGGGUUGCUGGUUCCUCUCCAGCUGCGUCCAGGGCGAGAGGCAGGUUCACCUGGACAGGUCGCCAGUCUGUCGCAGGGCAGGAAUCCAAAGUAAUUUAAUCCUGGAUCCAUAUUUUUGAAUUCUAAAAAUGGGUUGAUUAAUAUCCAGUGAUAUCUUGUCUUGUUUCUGAAUUUUGCUCUAAAAUACUUAUUAAUCCACUACUUGAAUCUGAGCAAAUCAAUAUUUUCUUCUUUCUCGUUUCUUCACUCCAUUCUAGAGCCACUAAUACAGCCGUUAAUUCUCCUGUUUAUACUGACAACCAAUCUGUUACUCUUCUAUUUUUCAUAAUAUUUAAGUCCAGAAUUUCUUUUUUAUCAUCUGACAUUUUAGAAGCAUCUGUAUAUACUUGUAUAUGCUCUGCAUAUUCUUUCCUUAAAUACCUUUUCACCUUUUUCUUUUCUAUUUGUCUUCCUCUUUCCAAUAAACUUAAAUCAACUUCAGCUUUUCCACUUAACCAAAGUGGAGUAACAGAAAUAUUCACCACUGGAUGAACUAAAUAAUCAUUUUUUCCUACCUCAUUUAUUUCAGGGUUAAUAAUCCAUCCAGAACUGUUAGUUUUACUUUUUUGAACUUUUUCUUGAUAAGGUUGUAACAUGGCAUAACUUUCCUUAACUCCUUUAAUAUUUGCCCAAUAAUUUCUGGCUACUUCUUUUCUUCUGAGCUCCAGCGGCCGCCUGAGCUUUUCACAGAGUGGUUCUGGUGGGUCGCCGGUUUAUUCGUUUUUCUUCUGGUUUUUGAACUGAACAGCUGAAGAUUUUUCUCUCUGACCCCCAGAAGUUAAAAGAUCCAGGGUGGCACCCAGUACCGCAGCGUUCCUGACUGGUACAUAUUGACCAAUGUUCUCCCAACUUGUUUUAAUAUUCCUGCUGAUUGUGGCUCUCCUGGGGUUUCUGUUUCAUUUUUCUCCUUAGGGUUUGGUGCCACCCUGGAUCUCAAUCUGUCAUUUUUCAAUUUAAGAGCUACAAUUUCUUUAUUUAAUUCAUUAUUCUCUGCUUGGAGCCAGGCCACAUGUUUUCUUUUCUCCUUUAAACUAUUUUCACAAUCCUUACGUGUUGUUCGCUCCCUUUCCUCUAGUUCCACAUUUUUUUUUGAUAUUACAUAAAAAUCUCGUUCCAUAUCAAAAAUUGUUUCUUUUGCUUCAUCCAGCUCCUUAAUUAAUGUCCCAACUUGACUUUUGCAAAAUUUAUUUGAGUCAAUCAGUAUUUCGUUUUCAACCUGAAAGCUUCUGGCGUUUUUAUUGGUGCAGCUGUUCAGUCGUUCAAUUUUCCUCCUCAAUUUUUCAACCAUCUUUUGAAGCUCCUCCUUGUCCUGCUCCAGCUUCCCACACCUGGUUUCCAAAAUUCUUACUCUCACCAACAAAUCCUGUCUUUCCAUG